Molecule: ribosomal RNA, 406 nt
Filed under: uncultured Actinomycetes bacterium
Lineage: Bacteria; Bacillati; Actinomycetota; Actinomycetes
Description: bacterial SSU rRNA
Rfam family: Bacterial small subunit ribosomal RNA
Source: RNAcentral
GGGGAAUAUUGCGCAAUGGGCGAAAGCCUGACGCAGCGACGCCGCGUGGGGGAUGAAUGCCUUCGGGUUGUAAACCCCUUUCGGCAGGGACGAAGCGAUCGUGACGGUACCUGCAGAAGAAGUCCCGGCUAACUACGUGCCAGCAGCCGCGGUAAGACGUAGGGGACGAGCGUUGUCCGGAUUCAUUGGGCGUAAAGCGCGCGUAGGCGGUCACGCAAGUCGGUUGUGAAAAUCCGGGGCUCAACCCCGGACCUGCAUCCGAUACUGCGUGACUAGAGGUAGGUAGGGGAGAUCGGAAUUCCUGGUGUAGCGGUGAAAUGCGCAGAUAUCAGGAGGAACACCGGUGGCGAAGGCGGAUCUCUGGGCCUUACCUGACGCUCAGGCGCGAAAGCUAGGGGAGCGAACA